GUUCUGAAUGGAAGGGCCAUCGCUCAACGGAUAAAAGGUACUCCGGGGAUAACAGGCUGAUACCGCCCAAGAGUUCAUAUCGACGGCGGUGUUUGGCACCUCGAUGUCGGCUCAUCACAUCCUGGGGCUGAAGUAGGUCCCAAGGGUAUGGCUGUUCGCCAUUUAAAGUGGUACGCGAGCUGGGUUUAGAACGUCGUGAGACAGUUCGGUCCCUAUCUGCCGUGGGCGCUGGAGAACUGAGGGGGGCUGCUCCUAGUACGAGAGGACCGGAGUGGACGCAUCACUGGUGUUCGGGUUGUCAUGCCAAUGGCACUGCCCGGUAGCUAAAUGCGGAAGAGAUAAGUGCUGAAAGCAUCUAAGCACGAAACUUGCCCCGAGAUGAGUUCUCCCUGACUCCUUGAGAGUCCUGAAGGAACGUUGAAGACGACGACGUUGAUAGGCCGGGUGUGUAAGCGCAGCGAUGCGUUGAGCUAACCGGUACUAAUGAACCGUGAGGCUUAACCUUACAACGCCGAAGGUGUUUUG
Molecule: ribosomal RNA, 525 nt
Filed under: Escherichia coli ISC7
Lineage: Bacteria; Pseudomonadati; Pseudomonadota; Gammaproteobacteria; Enterobacterales; Enterobacteriaceae
Description: LSU rRNA
Rfam family: Bacterial large subunit ribosomal RNA
Source: RNAcentral